Molecule: ribosomal RNA, 688 nt
Filed under: uncultured Bacteroidota bacterium
Lineage: Bacteria; Pseudomonadati; Bacteroidota
Description: bacterial SSU rRNA
Rfam family: Bacterial small subunit ribosomal RNA
Source: RNAcentral
AGCAAUACUUUGAUGGCGACCGGCAAACGGGUGCGGAACACGUACACAACCUUCCUUUAAGUGGGGAAUAGCCCAGAGAAAUUUGGAUUAAUACCCCGUAACAUUGCGAUGUGGCAUCACAUUGCAAUUAUAGCUUCGGCGCUUAAUGAUGGGUGUGCGUAUGAUUAGAUAGUUGGCGAGGUAACGGCUCACCAAGUCUACGAUCAUUAGCUGAUGUGAGAGCAUGAUCAGCCACACGGGCACUGAGACACGGGCCCGACUCCUACGGGAGGCAGCAGUAAGGAAUAUUGGUCAAUGGACGCAAGUCUGAACCAGCCAUGCCGCGUGAAGGAUUAAGGUCCUCUGGAUUGUAAACUUCUUUUAUAUGGGACGAAAACAGACCUUUCUAGGUCCUUUGACGGUACCAUAUGAAUAAGCACCGGCUAACUCCGUGCCAGCAGCCGCGGUAAUACGGAGGGUGCAAGCGUUAUCCGGAUUCACUGGGUUUAAAGGGUGCGUAGGCGGGUAGGUAAGUCAGUGGUGAAAUCCUGGAGCUCAACUCCAGAACUGCCAUUGAUACUAUCUAUCUUGAAUAUUGUGGAGGUAAGCGGAAUAUGUCAUGUAGCGGUGAAAUGCUUAGAUAUGACAUAGAACACCCAUUGCGAAGGCAGCUUACUACGCAUAUAUUGACGCUGAGGCACGAAAGCGU